GCGCUGCAUAACGAAGCUUGAUUUUUUUUUUUCGAAAUGGAUAUUAGUUCUUUAAGUUUGGGGGAAAUAUACUCCUGAAAAAAGAAAGUGGCUAGAGACUGGUGACCAAAAUUAUUAUGAAUUUGGACAACUUAAGAUAACCCACAGUGUUGCUACAUGAGUGAAUACUCUAUUAUAACUACCAACAUUGGUCUUUCUUUGGAACAUUGCAGCAACAGCGGGGACUAUAUAUGUUUGGGCAGGACAUUCAAGAAGGAAUAUUUACCUGGACGUUGUGCCGUAAACCUCACCAGGAUGGAUGUGUUUGUCGAGAUACCAAUUGGCUGUGCAUGUUCUAACUAUAUUAAGUUUCUUGUUGAUAUACAAAUAUAAAGCCCGGAGAUCAUUGUAAUUUUCUAGUUAAAUAAAGUUUGAUAUUUUUGAGUG
Limulus polyphemus (Atlantic horseshoe crab) is the source of this 426-nucleotide long non-coding RNA. RefSeq lists it as uncharacterized. The transcript has 3 exons. The record is from RefSeq and is a predicted model, not a curated record. Lineage: Eukaryota; Metazoa; Arthropoda; Merostomata; Xiphosura; Limulidae.